UGCAGUAAGUAGGACAGUAGUAGCAGACCUACAGUAUACUAGGGGGUGCAGUAAGUAGGACAGUAGGAGACAUACAGUAUAGGGGGAGGUGCAGUAAGUAGGACAGUAGCAGACAUACAGUAUAGGGGGAGGUGCAGUAAGUAGGACAGUAGUAGCAGACAUACAGUAUAGGGGGAGGUGCAGUAAGUAGGGCAGUAGCAGACAUACAGUAUAGGGGGAGGUGCAGUAAGUAGGACAGUAGUAGCAGACAUACAGUAUAGGGGGAGGUGCAGUAAGUAGGACAGUAGCAGACAUACAGUAUAGGGGGAGGUGCAGUAAGUACAGUAUAGAGGGAGGUGCAGUAAGUAGGACAGUAGCAGACAUACAGUAUAGGGGGAGGUGCAGUAAGUAGGACAGUAGCAGACAUACAGUAUAGGGGGAGGUGCAGUAAGUAGGACAGUAGCAGACAUACAGUAUAGGGGGAGGUGCAGUAAGUACAGUAUAGAGGGAGGUGCAGUAUGUAGCGUGGUAUGGAAUGUGUGGUGUAGUAUGUAGCGUGGUAUGUAACGUGUGGUGUAGUAUGUAGGGUGGUAUGGAAUGUGUUUACUAGUCUUAGUCGUGGUAUGCAGCGUGUGGUGUAGUAUGUAGCGUGUUAUGUAAUGUGUUUACUAGUCUUGGUAGUGGUAUGUAGCGUGUGGUGUAGUAUGUAGCGUGUUAUGUAAUGUGUUUACUAGUCUUGGUAGUGGUAUGUAGCGUGGUAUGGAAUGUGUUUACUAGUCUUGGUAGUGGUAUGUAGCGUGUGGUGUAGUAUGUAGCGUGGUAUGGAAUGUGUUUACUAGUCUUAGUCGUGGUAUGUAGCGUGUGGUGUAGUAUGUAGCGUGGUAUGUAACGUGUGGUGUAGUAUGUAGCGUGGUAUGGAAUGUGUUUACUAGUCUUGGUAGUGGUAUGCAGCGCGUGGUGUAGUAUGUAGCGUGUUAUGUAAUGUGUUUACUAGUCUUGGUAGUGGUAUGUAGCGUGUGGUGUAGUAUGUAGCGUGGUAUGGUCUGUCUCUCUCUGUCUGUCUCUGUCUGUCUCUGUCUCUCUCUGUCUCUCUCUCUCUCUGUCUCUCUCUGUCUGUCUCUCUCUCUCUGUCUGUCUCUCUCUCUCUGUCUCUCUCUGUCUCUCUCUCUCUGUCUCUGUCUCUCUGUCUCUGUCUCUCUCUGUCUCUCUGUGUCUCUCUCUGUCUCUCUCUGUCUCUGUCUCUCUGUCUCUCUCUCUGUCUGUGUUUACUAGUCUUGGUCGUGGUAUGUAGCGUGGUAUGUAGAGUGGUAUGUAGCGUGGUAUGGAAGGUGUUUACUAGUCUUGGUCGUGGUAUGGAGCGUGUUUACUAGUGCACUACUGGUUAAAAGCAAUCAUGGAGCUGUACCCCUCUAGUUCAUUAGAACAGGACUGUUGGUUUCCUCUGUGUAAUGAGAAACAGCCUGCGUCCCUAAUGGAAGACUACUCCCUACAUAGUACACUACUGGUUAAAAGCAAAGCACUAUAACAAAAGGAAGAGGGAGCCAUUUGGCACGUAUCCAACAGUAGUUUAGACUGUAGAGAUUCUGUUGUCUAUAUAUAUAUAUAUAUAUAUAUAUAUAUAUAUAUAUAUAUUCCCUGCUGAGUCGUGGUCAACAAGGUGAUUUGCAUCCAGACAGUCUUGUCUCCAGGUCCAGAUGUGGCUUUUGCCUGCUUCAAUGUGUCCUGGGAGGACAUGGUGUUUGGGAGACAGUGCCAUGUCUUUCUGACCGGACUCAUCCUGGACUCCAUAAGACUAGAGGACUCCAAGGACUGCACUCUCAAGAUAACCAACCUGGUCUAUUUCCUCUGGACAGGUCAGGUGAAGGCUGAGGACUUUGUCUCUGAGCUGCUCAGAAUAAUUUGUUCUGAGAGACGGGAGAAGAGCAGAGAGCAGCUGCUCCUGCAGUGGUUGGAGCCCCGAGUCACUCAGCUGGGAGGACAGAUCUUCUACGAUCAGGAGGACAGGACCUCAGACCCACUGGCUCUGACCUGUCAGGGAACUGACCUGGAGUCAGGCUCACGUCACAAAUAGCACCUUAUUCCCU
This is an RNA transcript of Oncorhynchus keta (chum salmon), 2063 nucleotides long. It is a transcript of the gene named BTB/POZ domain-containing protein KCTD19-like, with no coding region annotated. NCBI's taxonomy places the organism in Eukaryota, Metazoa, Chordata, Actinopteri, Salmoniformes, Salmonidae. The transcript is spliced from 7 exons. The record is from RefSeq and is a predicted model, not a curated record.